Molecule: unclassified non-coding RNA, 241 nt
Filed under: uncultured fungus
Lineage: Eukaryota; Fungi
Description: sequence contains ITS2
Rfam family: 5.8S ribosomal RNA (bases 1-52)
Source: RNAcentral
AACGCACAUUGCGCCCUCUGGUAUUCCGGAGGGCAUGCCUGUUCGAGCGUCAUUACAACCCUCAAGCUCUGCUUGGUAUUGGGCCUCGCCGGUUACACGGCGUGCCUUAAAAUCAGUGGCGGUGCCAUCUGGCUCUAAGCGUAGUACAUCUCUCGCUCUGGGUGCCCGGUGGAUGCUUGCCAACAACCCCCAAUUUCUUAAGGUUGACCUCGGAUCAGGUAGGGAUACCCGCUGAACUUAA